CCCUUAGAUGUUCUGGGCUGCACGCGCGCUACACUGACGCACGCAACAGGUGCCUGCUCCGAGAGGACUGGGUAAUCAUUUGAGUGUGCGUCGUGAUGGGGAUAGAGUAUUGUAAUUAUUACUCUUCAACGAGGAAUUCCUAGUAAGCGCCAGUCAGCAGCUUGCGCUGAUUACGUCCCUGCCCUUUGUACACACCGCCCGUCGCUCCUACCGAUGGGUGAUCCGGUGAAUGAUUCGGACUUCAGCGGCUCCCCUGGGGUGCGCCGGAGAAAGUUUUGUGAACCUUAUCACUUGGAGGAAGGAGAAGUCGUAACA
This 315-nucleotide ribosomal RNA is filed under the name uncultured eukaryote. RNAcentral describes it as "partial 18S ribosomal RNA". It matches the Rfam family "Eukaryotic small subunit ribosomal RNA", at positions 1470 to 1796 of the family's 1831-position model. The record is from RNAcentral.